UACGAGGGGGGCGAGCCUUGUUCGGAAUUAUUGGGCGUAAAGGGUGCGUAGGCGGUUUGGUAAGUCUCGUGUGAAAUCUACAGGCUCAACUUGUAGUCUGCAUGAGAAACUGCCGGGCUUGAGUAUGGGAGAGGUGAGUGGAAUUCCUGGUGUAGCGGUGAAAUGCGUAGAGAUCCGGAGGAACACCAAAGGCGAAGGCAGUGUCCUGGGGAGUACCUGACGCUCAGGUGCGAAAGCCAGGGGAGCGAACGGG
RNAcentral lists this ribosomal RNA (253 nucleotides) under uncultured bacterium. RNAcentral describes it as "partial 16S ribosomal RNA". It matches the Rfam family "Bacterial small subunit ribosomal RNA", at positions 524 to 776 of the family's 1533-position model. The record is from RNAcentral.